UCCUCUACUAAUUCCAACUUUGAUGUUGCUUCAUCCAUGAAACAGAUUGAUAAUGAUAAAAUCACAACUAUGAUCAUAACUUCUUACAUCUACAACUACGAACCAGAAAGCUCCGCAACUUCUACGAAUGCAAAAAACAAAAUUAUCUAAUAUACUACCAAGGUCUAGAGACGAUAACCAAACAAUGCGAGUUUAGUGGAGACGCCAAAGAACUUGUCUUCAUCUUCUUGCUGCUGAGUACACACACCCAAGUUCUUGAUUUUAUCUAUCGUUGAUGUGGCGGUAGACGACCAGAAUGCUUAUGUUUGUGCCCAUGUUUACUCUUUCUCACUCCACUGCGCUGCUGAUGAUGAUGGUGGUGGUGUUUCUUUUCAGAAUUUUCGGUAAUCAAGAUCUGCUUAAGCCUGAUCUUUAAGGGAUCGGAAGUGGGUAUGACUGUGUAGUGGAAACGAGGAGAAGAGAGUGGAUGCUUGAUGAUCAGACGCACCAUGAUUGUAUCUCAGUAAUCAACUAGUUAAGAAGAUGUAGCUUCGAAA
Molecule: long non-coding RNA, 536 nt
Filed under: Daucus carota (carrot)
Lineage: Eukaryota; Viridiplantae; Streptophyta; Magnoliopsida; Apiales; Apiaceae
Description: long non-coding RNA (DCAR_LNC004314)
Source: RNAcentral